RNAcentral lists this unclassified non-coding RNA (727 nucleotides) under Hevea brasiliensis (rubber tree). Lineage: Eukaryota; Viridiplantae; Streptophyta; Magnoliopsida; Malpighiales; Euphorbiaceae. The record is from RNAcentral.
GAAUUAUGACAAAGAUCCUGAACUUGCUGAUAUUCUUGGCACCUGUCUUGAUGAUCCCGAUAAGGCUAAGUCAAGGUUGGAGGAGAGAUUGAGAAAGAAAAGGAAUAAAAUUGUACAUACAAAGACAGGUUCACCAACACCCAUGACAGUCGAAUUCAACAAAUUUGAUUAUUCAAACACCUUUAUAUGGUUUGAGUUCUACAAUGCCCCAUUGGAGAAGGACAUCUCCUUGAUUUGUGACACAAUUCGGUCUUGGCACAUUGUUGGACGUCUUGGUGGAUGUAAUUCGAUGAAUAUGCAAUUGUCCCAAUCUCCUUUGGACAAAAGACCAAAUUAUGAUGCUGUUCAGGGGGCAAAUGUAACACCUACUACAUUCUAUAAUAUUGGAGAUGUUGAGAUUCAAGAUAACGUGGCUCGCAUAUGGGUGGACAUUGGGACUAGUGAGCCUUUACUGUUGGAUGUAUUGAUUAAUGCUUUGUCACAGAUAAGUUCCGAUUAUGUCGGUAUCAAACAAGUAGUAUUUGGUGGAUCUGAAUUUGAGAACUGGAAGGAGAACAUGACAUCGGAGGAUGCCGGUUACAGUGUUCACAAGAUAUAGAUGACUUAUUGAGUCUGAAAGCUUCUGGUUAGAAGAUGAAACACAGCAUAGGAGGUAAAGGGCUCUAAGAAGUGGCAUUUGUUAACACAAAAGCAACUAGAGAUCGGGUUUACCACUCGGGCUUUCAAG